RNAcentral lists this ribosomal RNA (461 nucleotides) under Melanorivulus megaroni. RNAcentral describes it as "partial 16S ribosomal RNA". It matches the Rfam family "Bacterial large subunit ribosomal RNA", at positions 1810 to 2483 of the family's 2925-position model. Lineage: Eukaryota; Metazoa; Chordata; Actinopteri; Cyprinodontiformes; Rivulidae. The record is from RNAcentral.
AAAACAUCGCCUCUUGCCAAAAAACUAUAAGAGGUCCUGCCUGCCCUGUGACAUAAUGUUCAACGGCCGCGGUAUCUUGACCGUGUGAAGGUAGCGUAAUCAUUUGUCUUUUAAAUGAAGACCUGUAUGAAUGGCGUAACGAGAGCUUAACUGUCUCACUCUUUUAGUCAAUGAAAUUGAUCUCCCCGUGCAGAAGCGAGGAUAAAUACAUAAGACGAAAAGACCCUAUGGAGCUUAAGAAUCUAAAGCAGCCCAAACAAAUCAAACAAAUAAAGGACCCUGCUUUCACAUUUCUUCGGUUGGGGCGACCAUGGAGAAAAACAAAACCUCCACGAAAAAAAUACCAAUAAUUGUAUGAAUUAACGAAACACAAAUCUAAAUUCCAGAAUGUCUGUUUAUAAAUGAUCCGGCUAUAUCUUUAAGCCGACCAACGGAUCAAGUUACCCUAGGGAUAACAGCGC